This 253-nucleotide ribosomal RNA is filed under the name uncultured bacterium. RNAcentral describes it as "partial 16S ribosomal RNA". It matches the Rfam family "Bacterial small subunit ribosomal RNA", at positions 524 to 776 of the family's 1533-position model. The record is from RNAcentral.
UACGGAGGGUGCAAGCGUUAUCCGGAUUUACUGGGUUUAAAGGGUGCGUAGGUGGAUAAUUAAGUCCGUGGUGAAAUCUUCAGGCUUAACCUGGAAACUGCCAUUGAUACUAUUUAUCUUGAAUACUUUGGAGGUAAGCGGAAUAUGUCAUGUAGCGGUGAAAUGCUUAGAUAUGACAUAGAACACCAAUUGCGAAGGCAGCUUACUACACAGUAAUUGACACUGAGGCACGAAAGCGUGGGGAUCAAACAGG